UGCAGCUCAAAAUGGGUGGUAAAUGCCAUCUAAAGCUAAAUAUUGGCGAGAGACCGAUAGCGAACAAGUACCGUGAGGGAAAGAUGAAAAGAACUUUGGAAAGAGAGUUAAACAGUACGUGAAAUUGCUGAAAGGGAAACGCUUGAAGUCAGUCACAUUGGCUAGGAAUCAGUCUUGCUUUUGCUUGAUGUAUUUUCUGGUUGAUGGGUCAGCAUCAAUUUUGAUCACUGGAUAAAGUCUUUGGGAAUGUGGCAUCUUUGGAUGUGUUAUAGCCCAUUGUUGCAUACNGUGAUUGGGAUUGAGGAACUCAGCACGCUGUAAAGGCCGGGUCUUUGACCACGUUCGUGCUUAGGAUGCUGGCAUAAUGGCUUUAAUCGACCCGUCUUGAAACACGGACCAAGGAGUCUAACAUGCCUGCGAGUGUUUGGGUGGAAAACCCAUUCGCACAAUGAAAGUGAAAGUUGAGAUCCCUGUAAAAGGGAGCAUCGACGCCUGGACCAGACCUUUUGUGACGGAUCCACGGUAGAGCAUGUAUGUUGGGACCCGAAAGAUGGUGAACUAUGCCUGAAUAGGGUGAAGCCAGAGGAAACUCUGGUGGAGGCUCGUAGCGAUU
This 613-nucleotide ribosomal RNA is filed under the name Inocybe sp. RNAcentral describes it as "LSU rRNA". It matches the Rfam family "Eukaryotic large subunit ribosomal RNA", at positions 281 to 885 of the family's 3401-position model. The record is from RNAcentral. Lineage: Eukaryota; Fungi; Basidiomycota; Agaricomycetes; Agaricales; Inocybaceae.